GCCCGCUUGGCCCAGUGGUACGGCGUGUCUUUCCUAGGACGCAGGACGUCCUGUGCACCAGAAAACGAGGACAAGAUCGUGGGUUCGAUCCCCACAGUGGGUU
Non-coding RNA from Apiotrichum porosum, 103 nucleotides. The record is from the annotation of a RefSeq genome assembly. Lineage: Eukaryota; Fungi; Basidiomycota; Tremellomycetes; Trichosporonales; Trichosporonaceae.